AGACCCGAAACCCGGUGAUCUAGCCAUGGGCAGGUUGAAGGUUGGGUAACACUAACUGGAGGACCGAACCGACUAAUGUUGAAAAAUUAGCGGAUGACCUGUGGCUGGGGGUGAAAGGCCAAUCAAACCGGGAGAUAGCUGGUUCUCCCCGAAAGCUAUUUAGGUAGCGCCUCGUGAAUUCAUCUCCGGGGGUAGAGCACUGUUUCGGCUAGGGGGCCAUCCCGGCUUACCAACCCGAUGCAAACUGCGAAUACCGGAGAAUGUUAUCACGGGAGACACACGGCGGGUGCUAACGUCCGUCGUGAAGAGGGAAACAACCCAGACCGCCAGCUAAGGUCCCAAAGUCAUGGUUAAGUGGGAAACGAUGUGGGAAGGCCCAGACAGCCAGGAUGUUGGCUUAGAAGCAGCCAUCAUUUAAAGAAAGCGUAAUAGCUCACUGGUCGAGUCGGCCUGCGCGGAAGAUGUAACGGGGCUAAACCAUGCACCGAAGCUGCGGCAGCGACACUGUGUGUUGUUGGGUAGGGGAGCGUUCUGUAAGCCUGUGAAGGUGUGUCGUGAGGCAUGCUGGAGGUAUCAGAAGUGCGAAUGCUGACAUAAGUAACGAUAAAGCGGGUGAAAAGCCCGCUCGCCGGAAGACCAAGGGUUCCUGUCCAACGUUAAUCGGGGCAGGGUGAGUCGACCCCUAAGGCGAGGCCGAAAGGCGUAGUCGAUGGGAAAUGGGUUAAUAUUCCCGUACUUGGUGUUACUGCGAAGGGGGGACGGAGAAGGCUAUGUUGGCCGGGCGACGGUUGUCCCGGUUUAAGCGUGUAGGUGUGUGUUCCAGGUAAAUCCGGUUCACUUUAACACUGAGGCGUGACGACGAGGCACUACGGUGCUGAAGCAACAAAUGCCCUGCUUCCAGGAAAAGCCUCUAAGCAUCAGGUAACAUCAAAUCGUACCCCAAACCGACACAGGUGGUCAGGUAGAGAAUACCAAGGCGCUUGAGAGAACUCGGGUGAAGGAACUAGGCAAAAUGGUGCCGUAACUUCGGGAGAAGGCACGCUGACACGUAGGUGAAGUGAUUUACUCAUGGAGCUGAAGUCAGUCGAAGAUACCAGCUGGCUGCAACUGUUUAUUAAAAACACAGCACUGUGCAAACACGAAAGUGGACGUAUACGGUGUGACGCCUGCCCGGUGCCGGAAGGUUAAUUGAUGGGGUCAGCGCAAGCGAAGCUCCUGAUCGAAGCCCCGGUAAACGGCGGCCGUAACUAUAACGGUCCUAAGGUAGCGAAAUUCCUUGUCGGGUAAGUUCCGACCUGCACGAAUGGCGUAAUGAUGGCCAGGCUGUCUCCACCCGAGACUCAGUGAAAUUGAACUCGCUGUGAAGAUGCAGUGUACCCGCGGCAAGACGGAAAGACCCCGUGAACCUUUACUAUAGCUUGACACUGAACAUUGAGCCUUGAUGUGUAGGAUAGGUGGGAGGCUUUGAAGUGUGGACGCCAGUCUGCAUGGAGCCGACCUUGAAAUACCACCCUUUAAUGUUUGAUGUUCUAACGUGGACCCGUUACCCGGGUUGCGGACAGUGUCUGGUGGGUAGUUUGACUGGGGCGGUCUCCUCCUAAAGAGUAACGGAGGAGCACGAAGGUUGGCUAAUCCUGGUCGGACAUCAGGAGGUUAGUGCAAUGGCAUAAGCCAGCUUGACUGCGAGCGUGACGGCGCGAGCAGGUGCGAAAGCAGGUCAUAGUGAUCCGGUGGUUCUGAAUGGAAGGGCCAUCGCUCAACGGAUAAAAGGUACUCCGGGGAUAACAGGCUGAUACCGCCCAAGAGUUCAUAUCGACGGCGGUGUUUGGCACCUCGAUGUCGGCUCAUCACAUCCUGGGGCUGAAGUAGGUCCCAAGGGUAUGGCUGUUCGCCAUUUAAAGUGGUACGCGAGCUGGGUUUAGAACGUCGUGAGACAGUUCGGUCCCUAUCUGCCGUGGGCGCUGGAGAACUGAGGGGGGCUGCUCCUAGUACGAGAGGACCGGAGUGGACGCAUCACUGGUGUUCGGGUUGUCAUGCCAAUGGCACUGCCCGGUAGCUAAAUGCGGAAGAGAUAAGUGCUGAAAGCAUCUAAGCACGAAACUUGCCCCGA
RNAcentral lists this ribosomal RNA (2110 nucleotides) under Salmonella enterica subsp. enterica serovar Enteritidis. RNAcentral describes it as "partial 23S ribosomal RNA". It matches the Rfam family "Bacterial large subunit ribosomal RNA", at positions 711 to 2802 of the family's 2925-position model. Lineage: Bacteria; Pseudomonadati; Pseudomonadota; Gammaproteobacteria; Enterobacterales; Enterobacteriaceae. The record is from RNAcentral.